AACAUCUUAGCAAAUCAUGUCUGACAUUCCCCUCUACCAACCUCAUUUCUUAACAUAAAUAAAUGUGUAUGCUUUACCUUGGGAGUAUCGAUCACAAGACACAUGGACUCUUACUCCAACAGGUAUCUGAGUAAACAAGUAGUCUUGUUCUGGUUUCUUUUACUCUAUAUCUCCCUUCUCUGAAUCCUUUUUAUCUCAAUUCCAAUAAACAAAGAUGCUGAUGCAGUCCAUCUUAUUCACCUUCUUUUCGAUUUUUUUAUUAUUUUUUUUUUCUUUUUCUUUUCUUGACAAAGUGUAGGCGAAUAGUGGGGUCAUCAGUAAUGUACCUACCCCUCGCUUCCAACAAUGUAUGAUCAUUCUAUUAGAGUAGAAUAAUGGGGUCGCAGGAGACGCUCCUACCCCUCUAAACCGCAAGAAAUCAUCUCAAUCUUUUAUUUUAUAUUAUUAGGAUGCCAAAGGGAGGAGAGAAGGAAACCAAAAUCACUCAGACUUUUACCUUUCAGACCUGAAGGAGGAAUCCGAUCCAGUGUAUAUCAAGCCCCAAGACAAGCAGUUAAGUCAAAU
This 564-nucleotide long non-coding RNA is filed under the name Brassica rapa (field mustard). Its description in RNAcentral is "long non-coding RNA (BRAP_LNC000432)". Lineage: Eukaryota; Viridiplantae; Streptophyta; Magnoliopsida; Brassicales; Brassicaceae. The record is from RNAcentral.